Molecule: small nuclear RNA, 107 nt
Filed under: Neogale vison (American mink)
Lineage: Eukaryota; Metazoa; Chordata; Mammalia; Carnivora; Mustelidae
Source: RNAcentral
GUGCUCGCUUUGGCAGCACAUAUACAAAAAUUGGAACGAUACAGAGAAAAUUAGCAUGGCCCUUGCGCAAGGAUGACAUGCAAAUUCGUGAAGUGUUCCAUAUUUUU